Molecule: long non-coding RNA, 767 nt
Filed under: Elaeis guineensis (African oil palm)
Lineage: Eukaryota; Viridiplantae; Streptophyta; Magnoliopsida; Arecales; Arecaceae
Description: long non-coding RNA (EGUI_LNC064497)
Source: RNAcentral
CGAGAAUGUCUCUGAUGGGAUAUAGGUAUAAGUAUCCCUUAGAUCUGAGAUCGCCUCAGUGACUUGCAAGCAACUCACUGUGCUUUGGUACUGGACUAACUGAAUUUCUAAUUCAGGGAUGGAAGGCUUCUAGGCAUAGUCAAGUACUUGCAAAGUUAGAGUGUGAUCGAGAUGGGAUUGACCACUCCAAGAGUUGGAGAAGAAUGAGUCGCUGUAUUUCAAUUUAGCAAAACCUUGGCCAGGAUAAUCCAUCAGAUGGAUUUGAUAUUUUGAAAUACAAUAUGGACAACCUGAUCAGAGUUGACAGUUAAACUCUAAGGUAUCCUAUGAUCAUUUUGGUCAAGAGAAUAAAUUAUAUGAAAACUAUAUCCGCAUGGGUUCUGAGGAUGUUGUUCUACACAUUCGACCUAUCCGAUCGUCGGGUACCAUUGCUAGAUGGUCACUUCGAUUGGUACAAAAAUUUAUUUCUGUGCUACCAACUUAGGUUCGGACCUAUGAGGUCACACACAUUAGAGUUCAUGAUCCGAUCGGAUGGUUGAUCAAUGAUUAAGAAUCGUUCUAGGGUUAAAUGAUCAAUACGAUUGACAUUUAACCCAGUGCAAGUGUUGCAGGAGGAUCGAUUAGCAAUUCGAUUGCUAAUUAGCUUAAUUUGAUUAAGCCAAUAGGAUAAGAUUAAGUCUAAUUAAAUAUAAUUUAAUUAAUUUUGGUUUGGAUUUGAUUGGAUCAAGUCCAAUUGGUUUAUUGGAUAAGCCAAGUGCAAGAAAAAA